AUCAUUUUAUCAAUUCAUCAUUGUGGCAGCAGCCAUGGCCGCCCACUCAAUCUUCACCACAACCAGCACUACCAAUUCUUUCUUAUACCCAAUUUCUUCUUCUUCUUCUUCCCCUAACAUUAACUCUUCUUUCCAUGGUGUUUCACUUAAUGUUAAGUCAAAAUUUGGCCAAUCUUUGACCCUUUAUGCUGUCACUACCCCUAAACCCCUUACUGUUUUUGCUGCUACUAAGAAAGCUGUUGCUGUCCUUAAGGGCAACUCUAAUGUUGAGGGGGUUGUCACUCUAUCUCAAGAUGAUGAUGGUCCAACUACGGUUAAUGUUCGUAUAACUGGACUUGCUCCUGGACUUCACGGGUUUCAUUUACAUGAAUAUGGUGACACUACAAACGGAUGUAUGUCUACAGGAGCCCAUUUUAAUCCGAAUAAAUUGACACAUGGAGCUCCUGGAGAUGAAAU
This 456-nucleotide unclassified non-coding RNA is filed under the name Hevea brasiliensis (rubber tree). The record is from RNAcentral. Lineage: Eukaryota; Viridiplantae; Streptophyta; Magnoliopsida; Malpighiales; Euphorbiaceae.